This 21-nucleotide non-coding RNA is filed under the name Caenorhabditis elegans. Lineage: Eukaryota; Metazoa; Nematoda; Chromadorea; Rhabditida; Rhabditidae. The record is from RNAcentral.
UAGUGGAUGAGAAGCUUCUUC